Molecule: non-coding RNA, 28 nt
Filed under: Mus musculus (house mouse)
Lineage: Eukaryota; Metazoa; Chordata; Mammalia; Rodentia; Muridae
Source: RNAcentral
UGGGAUCUAUAUGCUUUGGGAGCUCGAU